AAGUAGACACAAGGGCUGCUGGCUGGAGAACAGCCCUUCCUCCCAAGCAGCUGCGGAGACUCACAGCCUUGACUCUUGUGUUUAAGAACCGUACAGAGCUCAACAAUGCAUCUGGAUUGUGCACGUGUGUUCAUCCUCCCCAUCACAGCGCCAGGACAGACGGACGCAGCGGCCUGACCGACAGCGAAACUGUUCAGCUGUGCACAUGGAGGUGGCUGGACAGAGUAAAGACCUAAUGAAAGGCUGGUCCUCCCACCCCAGCCUGAAACCCUGCCACCCGAAGCACACAGGCUACUCUUCUAGACAGUGGUGUCGCAAGUUUCUCUUUAUGAACCAGAGCCCGUGGAAGUCGCCUGGCCCCUCCUAACACUCACGACAGUCCUGCUCAUCAGAGUCAUCUUCACAGUCAUUGUCUCCGUCACACACCCAGGAGCGUCGGAUGCACUUGCCGUUGUCACAGUGGAAGUCCAGAGGGGAGCAUGUAGGCAGUGCUGGGUCCAAGAGAAGGGAAAAGUCAGGCAGGAAGGCUACACUGGGCCAGAGACCCUUGCUCCAAAUCCCACUGUCCUCAUAAUCAUCCCUGGUCCCCUGGUUGAUAGAGCCGCUAGGGAACUGCAGCUGGGAAGAGG
Molecule: long non-coding RNA, 629 nt
Organism: Apodemus sylvaticus (European woodmouse)
Lineage: Eukaryota; Metazoa; Chordata; Mammalia; Rodentia; Muridae
Exons: 3
Source: RefSeq, a predicted model, not a curated record